CAGCAGCCACGGUAAAACGGAGGGGGCUAGCGUUGUUCGGAAUUACUGGGCGUAAAGCGCACGUAGGCGGCUUGGUAAGUUAGAGGUGAAAGCCUGGAGCUCAACUCCAGAAUUGCCUUUAAGACUGCCGAGCUAGCAGGUGAGAGAGGUAAGUGGAAUUCCGAGUGUAGAGGUGAAAUUCGUAGAUAUUCGGAAGAACACCAGUGGCGAAGGCGGCUUACUGGCUCAUACUGGACGCUGAGGUGCGAAAGCGUGGGGAGCGAACAGGAUUAGAUACCCCCGUAGUCCCUGUCUCUUAUAC
This 301-nucleotide ribosomal RNA is filed under the name uncultured bacterium. Its description in RNAcentral is "partial 16S ribosomal RNA". It matches the Rfam family "Bacterial small subunit ribosomal RNA", at positions 509 to 807 of the family's 1533-position model. The record is from RNAcentral.